UACGUAGGGUGCAAGCGUUAUCCGGAAUUAUUGGGCGUAAAGAGCUCGUAGGCGGUUUGUCGCGUCUGCUGUGAAAACUGGAGGCUCAACCUCCAGCCUGCAGUGGGUACGGGCAGACUAGAGUGCGGUAGGGGAGAUUGGAAUUCCUGGUGUAGCGGUGGAAUGCGCAGAGUAUCAGGAGGAACACCGAUGGCGAAGGCAGAUCUCUGGGCCGUAACUGACGCUGAGGAGCGAAAGCGUGGGGAGCGAACAGGA
RNAcentral lists this ribosomal RNA (255 nucleotides) under uncultured bacterium. RNAcentral's name for it is "partial 16S ribosomal RNA". It matches the Rfam family "Bacterial small subunit ribosomal RNA", at positions 524 to 777 of the family's 1533-position model. The record is from RNAcentral.